RNAcentral lists this long non-coding RNA (278 nucleotides) under Rattus norvegicus (Norway rat). Its description in RNAcentral is "long non-coding RNA NONRATT024571". Lineage: Eukaryota; Metazoa; Chordata; Mammalia; Rodentia; Muridae. The record is from RNAcentral.
AGAAGAGGAAGUUUGUAGCUGAUGGCAUCUUCAAAGCUGAACUGACUGAGUUUCUCACUCGGGAGCUGACUGAAGAUGGCUACUCUGGAGUUGAAGUCCGAGUUACGCCGACCAGAACAGAAAUCAUUAUUUUAGCCACCAGAACACAGAAUGUUCUUGGGGAGAAGGGUCGUCGGCUCAGAGAGCUGACUGCAGUUGUCCAGAAGCGGUUUGGCUUCCCUGAAGGCAGCGUAGAGCUGUAGGCAGAAAAAGUGGCCACGAGAGGUCUGUGUGCCUUU